This 208-nucleotide ribosomal RNA is filed under the name Lactobacillus delbrueckii subsp. bulgaricus. RNAcentral's name for it is "partial 23S ribosomal RNA". It matches the Rfam family "Bacterial large subunit ribosomal RNA", at positions 41 to 249 of the family's 2925-position model. The record is from RNAcentral. Lineage: Bacteria; Bacillati; Bacillota; Bacilli; Lactobacillales; Lactobacillaceae.
GGAAGCCGAUGAAGGACGCGACUAACCGCGAAAGUCUUCGGGGAGCCGUAAGUAGGCUUUGAUCCGGAGGUCUCCGAAUGGGGGAACCCAGCAUGUGCAGACAUGCUAUCCUUAAGUGAAUACAUAGCUUAAGGAGGGAACACGCAGUGAACUGAAACAUCUAAGUAGCUGCAGGAAGAGAAAGAAAUAUCGAUUUCCCAAGUAGCGG